RNAcentral lists this long non-coding RNA (333 nucleotides) under Rattus norvegicus (Norway rat). RNAcentral describes it as "long non-coding RNA NONRATT029240". Lineage: Eukaryota; Metazoa; Chordata; Mammalia; Rodentia; Muridae. The record is from RNAcentral.
AAGGAAACAGAUCUUUAACAUACUGCCUGAGGCUGGUUUAAGCGUCUUAACAACCUUUGGUGUCGUUAUGAUGAACAUACCCUUUUUCCUUACUUUUUUUACUUUCUUGGGCAGCAAGAUGGCCCAUCAGAUAAAGAAACCCACUGUCAAACCUGAUGAUCUGAGUUUGAUCUCUGGAACCCACGUGGUGGAAGGAGAGAGUAAGCUCCUACCAGUCGUCUCUAAGUGUAACGUGUACACCAUUGCAGGUGGUGCACUCCCAACCCCCCAAAUAAAAGAUAAAUGUGAAAAAUUUCUUGUAUGAAUUAAAAAAAUCAUGAUGGGGUCCUUAAA